Molecule: long non-coding RNA, 231 nt
Filed under: Zonotrichia albicollis (white-throated sparrow)
Lineage: Eukaryota; Metazoa; Chordata; Aves; Passeriformes; Passerellidae
Description: lncRNA (ENSZALG00000011614.1)
Source: RNAcentral
GUGGUUUACAGGCUAUCUAAGCAGGUGUCAGAAAGCUACAAGUCUUUCAGCAAGUGAUCUCUGCUGUGCAAGGCCUCUCUCCUGCAGAUGGAAGUUAGCCAUCUCCCCACCAAUCAGUUUGGAUCUGAUAAAUCCUAAGAGACUGUUGUACACUGGCAUGGGUAACUGCAAACUGCUGUUGGAGACAUUUAGUUUUGCAAAGCACAGAAGAUGCACAAAAAACAAUGACAG